GUUGUGUCUGGGAUUCAGGAGAGAAGAUGACUGAGGAGGAGGUGGAGACUGUUCUGGCAGGACAUGAGGACAGCAACGGCUGCAUCAACUACGAGGCCUUCUUGAAACACAUCCUAAGCGUCUGAGUGCUGCAGUGUGACUUCACCGAAGACCAGACCGCAGAGUUCAAGGAGGCCUUCCAGCUGUUUGACCGAACAGGUGAUGGCAAGAUCCUGUACAGCCA
RNAcentral lists this small RNA (223 nucleotides) under Pongo abelii (Sumatran orangutan). RNAcentral describes it as "processed transcript". Lineage: Eukaryota; Metazoa; Chordata; Mammalia; Primates; Hominidae. The record is from RNAcentral.